RNAcentral lists this ribosomal RNA (497 nucleotides) under uncultured bacterium. Its description in RNAcentral is "partial 16S ribosomal RNA". It matches the Rfam family "Bacterial small subunit ribosomal RNA", at positions 28 to 507 of the family's 1533-position model. The record is from RNAcentral.
GAUGAACGCUGGCGGCGUGCCUAAUACAUGCAAGUCGAGCGAACAGAUGAGGAGCCUGCUCCUCUGACGUUAGCGGCGGACGGGUGAGUAACACGUGGAUAACCUACCUAUAAGACUGGGAUAACUUCGGGAAACCGGAGCUAAUACCGGAUAAUAUAUUGAACCGCAUGGUUCAAUAGUGAAAGACGGUUUUGCUGUCACUUAUAGAUGGAUCCGCGCCGCAUUAGCUAGUUGGUAAGGUAACGGCUUACCAAGGCAACGAUGCGUAGCCGACCUGAGAGGGUGAUCGGCCACACUGGAACUGAGACACGGUCCAGACUCCUACGGGAGGCAGCAGUAGGGAAUCUUCCGCAAAGGGCGAAAGCCUGACGGAGCAACGCCGCGUGAGUGAUGAAGGUCUUCGGAUCGUAAAACUCUGUUAUUAGGGAAGAACAAAUGUGUAAGUAACUAUGCACGUCUUGACGGUACCUAAUCAGAAAGCCACGGCUAACUACGUG